Molecule: long non-coding RNA, 873 nt
Filed under: Homo sapiens (human)
Lineage: Eukaryota; Metazoa; Chordata; Mammalia; Primates; Hominidae
Description: HSALNT0111772
Source: RNAcentral
CAUGUUGAAUUGCAGUCCCCCAAUGUUGGAAGUGGGGCCUGGUGGGAGGUGAUUAGAUCAUAGGGGUGGAUUUCUCAUGAAUGGUUCAGCACCAUCCUCUUGAUGCUGUCCUUACAAUAAUGAGUUAUCAUGCAAUCUCGUUGUUUAAAAGUAUGUGACACCUUCCCCUCUCUCUCCCUCUUGUUUUUGCUGUGUGACUUACAAGCUUCUGCUUCACCUUCCACCAUGAUUGUAAGCUUCCAGAGGCUUCCCCAGAAGGAGAUGCCAACUCCAUGCUUCUUGUGCAGCCUGCAGCACCGAACAAAUUGCUUUCCACUCGUAAAAGCCACCCAUGAAAUCCUGGAAGCCUUCUCAAAAUGUAUGUGUCUCUAAAAUUGUUACUGGGAUGAUCAAGUCUCCAUUCCUUCAGAAUUCUUUCUUGGUUCUCCAAUUUUUGGAAUUUCAAUCAGGUGAUACCAGACGGGACUAGUCCCUCCUGACUUUUCCAAAGAGGACCUUCUGUUUUCACUGAAAGAUUCUAAAAUUCUAUACAAAAUCUGUUAUUGAUGCUAAAGAAUUAACCAAAGAACAAUUUCAAGCUUGAAUGUGAGUUGAGCCAGGCAGUGUAGGAAACUGAAUAACGGUCACCUACAGAUAUGAAGUCCUAAUCCCUGGAACUUGUAAAUGUUACCUUAUUUAGAAAAUGGGUCCUUGGGCCGGGUGCCUGUAAUCCCAGCACUUUGGGAGGCCAAGGCAGGUGGAUCACCUGAGGUCAGGAGUUCAAGACCAGCCUGGCCAACAUGGUGGAACCCCAUCUCUACUAAAAAUACAAAAAUUAGCUGGGCAUGAUGGUAGGUGCCUGCAAUCUCACCUACUCAGGAGGCUGAAGCGGGA